Molecule: ribosomal RNA, 353 nt
Filed under: Cafius quadriimpressus
Lineage: Eukaryota; Metazoa; Arthropoda; Insecta; Coleoptera; Staphylinidae
Description: partial 12S ribosomal RNA
Source: RNAcentral
UUUAAAUGUAAAAUACAAGACCUAAUUAUUAAUAGUUAUGAUCUUUAAAUUUAAAGGAUUUGGCGGUGUUUUAGUCUAUUUAGAGGAACCUGUUCUAUAAUUGAUAGUCCACGAUUUAUUAUACUUACUUUAUUAGUUUAUAUAUCGUCGUAGUUUGAAUAUUUUAAGAGAAUUUUAAUGUUCAGGAUUCUUUAUAAGGAAGGAAAUCAGAUCAAGGUGUAGCUUAUAAGUGAGUAGAAAUGGGUUACAAUAAAUUUAUUUAUAUGGAUUAGGGAUUUGAAAAGUCUCUGUGAAAGUGGAUUUAAAAGUAAUAAAGUUAAAUUUAAUUUUAUGAUUUUAGCUCUAAAACAUGU